GCCGGGGUAGCUCAGUCGGUUAGAGCGUGGGAUUCAUAAACCCAAGGUCGGCGGUUCGAAUCCGCCCCCCGGUA
RNAcentral lists this transfer RNA (74 nucleotides) under Planctomycetota bacterium. RNAcentral's name for it is "Planctomycetes bacterium tRNA-Met". It matches the Rfam family "tRNA". From Rfam's summary of the family: Transfer RNA (tRNA) molecules are approximately 80 nucleotides in length. Lineage: Bacteria; Pseudomonadati; Planctomycetota. RNAcentral also lists the same sequence under 1 other name. The record is from RNAcentral.